RNAcentral lists this unclassified non-coding RNA (219 nucleotides) under Hevea brasiliensis (rubber tree). The record is from RNAcentral. Lineage: Eukaryota; Viridiplantae; Streptophyta; Magnoliopsida; Malpighiales; Euphorbiaceae.
GUGGCACAUAAUUGUCUGAUAUAAUAACUGGAACACACUCAUACAUAAUAGCCUCCACGAUUCGUGGACUAUUGACUUCAUAACCUCUGGCACAAAUACAGUACUUGCUGCUNNNNNNNUGUGCUGGGCAUAGCUCAUUUUGCCUCGAACCUUGGGCAUCCGACCAAAUAUUUUCAUGUCUGGAUCUUUGUUUGCCCAGUGCUUCAACAGCAUUGGUCG